Long non-coding RNA from Bombina bombina (fire-bellied toad), 555 nucleotides. RefSeq lists it as uncharacterized. Lineage: Eukaryota; Metazoa; Chordata; Amphibia; Anura; Bombinatoridae. The transcript is spliced from 2 exons. The record is from RefSeq and is a predicted model, not a curated record.
CAAGGAGCGUAGGUACUAUCGGAGGGUGACGUCAUCUGACGUUUUUCACGCCUUUCUGGUGCUUUGUCAAAGAUAGAUGUGCAGCGUUAAUGAACUUUAACUAUUGGCCCAUAUUAUAUGGGAGCUGUCUGGACAAUCAGCCAAUCACAACGGAACACCAAAGGCAAGCGUCAGUCCAAUGAGAAUCUGAGAAGCUAAGGGCGCGCUUUUGCUAGAACUUUUAAACUACCAACCAUCGGAACAAACACAUCCUCUUUAGAAAGUCAAGCCGGAGCUUGACGAAACGCAUAGAGGUCCUUGGUCACCUUCACCCGCCUCAGUUAGAAGAUACUGGCUCAGCUACGGGAAACUCCCUUGCACCUGUCGUGAGAUCCUGAAACUUUCCGGAGAGUGUAGGAAGGAAAUCACAGACUGCUUUAACACCGGAGACAUACACUGAUGCUGGCGAAUCGGACUGUGGUGAUAUGAUUGUGCCUGUUUUUAACUUAUAUCUUGUACGUGCAUUACUAGCACUGGUUUUUAAUUGAAUGUUAAAUUAAAACAUUAUUACCCUUA